GACGAACGCUGGCGGCGUGCCUAAUACAUGCAAGUAGAACGCUGAAGGAGGAGCUUGCUUCUCUGGAUGAGUUGCGAACGGGUGAGUAACGCGUAGGUAACCUGCCUGGUAGCGGGGGAUAACUAUUGGAAACGAUAGCUAAUACCGCAUAAUAGUAGAUGUUGCAUGACAUUUGCUUAAAAGGUGCAAUUGCAUCACUACCAGAUGGACCUGCGUUGUAUUAGCUAGUUGGUGGGGUAACGGCUCACCAAGGCGACGAUACAUAGCCGACCUGAGAGGGUGAUCGGCCACACUGGGACUGAGACACGGCCCAGACUCCUACGGGAGGCAGCAGUAGGGAAUCUUCGGCAAUGGACGGAAGUCUGACCGAGCAACGCCGCGUGAGUGAAGAAGGUUUUCGGAUCAUAAAGCUCUGUUGUAAGAGAAGAACGAGUGUGAGAGUGGAAAGUUCACACUGUGACGGUAUCUUACCAGAAAGGGACGGCUAACUACGUG
Molecule: ribosomal RNA, 495 nt
Filed under: uncultured bacterium
Lineage: Bacteria
Description: partial 16S ribosomal RNA
Rfam family: Bacterial small subunit ribosomal RNA
Source: RNAcentral